GCCUUCGUAGUGUAACGGUAGCACACUCGGCAAGUAUUCGAGAGGUCCAGGUUCGAAUCCCGGUGAGGGCA
RNAcentral lists this transfer RNA (71 nucleotides) under Stegodyphus mimosarum. It matches the Rfam family "tRNA". From Rfam's summary of the family: Transfer RNA (tRNA) molecules are approximately 80 nucleotides in length. Their secondary structure includes four short double-helical elements and three loops (D, anti-codon, and T loops). Further hydrogen bonds mediate the characteristic L-shaped molecular structure. tRNAs have two regions of fundamental functional importance: the anti-codon, which is responsible for specific mRNA codon recognition, and the 3' end, to which the tRNAs corresponding amino acid is attached (by aminoacyl-tRNA synthetases). tRNAs cope with the degeneracy of the genetic code in two manners: having more than one tRNA (with a specific anti-codon) for a particular amino acid; and 'wobble' base-pairing, i.e. permitting non-standard base-pairing at the 3rd anti-codon position. Lineage: Eukaryota; Metazoa; Arthropoda; Arachnida; Araneae; Eresidae. The record is from Rfam by way of RNAcentral.